Molecule: ribosomal RNA, 397 nt
Filed under: uncultured bacterium
Lineage: Bacteria
Description: partial 16S ribosomal RNA
Rfam family: Bacterial small subunit ribosomal RNA
Source: RNAcentral
AUACGUAGGGGGCGAGCGUUGUCCGGAAUGAUUGGGCGUAAAGGGCGCGUAGGCGGCGCGGUAAGUCUGGAGUGAAAGUCCUGCUUUCAAGGUGGGAAUUGCUUUGGAUACUGCCGCGCUUGAGUGCAGGAGAGGUUAUCGGAAUUCCCGGUGUAGCGGUGAAAUGCGUAGAGAUCGGGAGGAACACCAGUGGCGAAGGCGGGUAACUGGACUGCAACUGACGCUGAGGCGCGAAAGUGUGGGGAGCAAACAGGAUUAGAUACCCUGGUAGUCCACACUGUAAACGACGAAUGCUAGGUGUAAGAGGUAUCGACCCCUUUUGUGCCGGAGUCAACACAAUAAGCAUUCCGCCUGGGGAGUACGGCCGCAAGGUUGAAACUCAAAUGAAUUGGCGGGG